GACAUUAUGGAUGAGAAUGUAGGCAACAGCCUCAAACAGUCGAGGUUCAAAUCCCUACUCUGUACUUGCCAAACUAGAACUGGAAGGAUUUAAUGAGUUAAUAUACGUAAAGUAUUCAGAACAGUGCCUUCACAAGACGUGGCCUCACCCAGCUUCUCCUGCAGUUUACUGUGGCUAUGAGACUGAGCUCUGGCCAACAGAAUGUGAAUGAAUAUGAUACGAGCCAUCACCAUGCAUCCUUUUUUAUUCCCUGUCCUCUUCUGGCGGCCUGUGGUGGCAGCCCCAGAUGACUACUGAAACCACAUAUUCAAGAUGGCGGAAUCGCUAUCAGCCUGGAUUCCUGAGUGAGUGUGGAGCAGAGCCACUCCACCCGCAAACCUUCAACAUUCUCUUCAUUUGCCACCUAGCUGGAGUGUUACAUACUGAUAUGACAAAAAAAAUGUUAUUGUGCCAAGCCCUUGCAAAUCUGGAUCUGUUUGCUACCACAGUCGAGCUUAAACUACUACGUAUCCCAGCCACAUAAUGCUAAAAUUUUGAAAGCCUAUUGCCCAGAGAUCUAUUAAAUCUUUAGUGCAAAC
Neofelis nebulosa (Clouded leopard) is the source of this 578-nucleotide long non-coding RNA. RefSeq lists it as uncharacterized. The record is from RefSeq and is a predicted model, not a curated record. Lineage: Eukaryota; Metazoa; Chordata; Mammalia; Carnivora; Felidae. The transcript has 2 exons.